Molecule: ribosomal RNA, 831 nt
Filed under: Triticum aestivum (bread wheat)
Lineage: Eukaryota; Viridiplantae; Streptophyta; Magnoliopsida; Poales; Poaceae
Description: partial small subunit ribosomal RNA
Source: RNAcentral
AUGUCUUUACGUAAUUUUUGCGCGGUAUGUAGGAUACCCUACGAGGGAGAAUUAGAGGAACCCCAUCGUAAAGAUGUGGAUGGCUUUGUUAACACUAUAGCUAUAGAGGAGCCAAAGAAGGGUUCCGAGGCGAAAAUCUCUAGCAUACAUUUUCCUGUUUUACGCUACUUUGCCAUAUUUGCUAGUAGAUGCUUGAUUGGUCAUGGAAAUAGUGGAAACUUUAGUGUUCCUAACAUUAUCAUCCUUCAACAUGCCUUGCUUGGAGAUAGUAGUUUUAGUAUGGGUGCCGUCAUUGCUAAACGGCUAGGCCUGAAUCAUACAAAAGGCCCCAUAUUUGGAAGUAUCUAUGCUUCACGUCUUGCUAGACAUUUUCAGAUACCUAUUAGGCACCAUGAGAAAGAGGAGACAAAAUUGUCUCCUCACAUUUUAGAUUACAAGAGCAUGGUAGCCCACAAGUUUAUCAUUGACAACGAAGAAACGAUGCUCUUGUAUAACCUUAAAUUUAAUAAGAAACGCAAUGAGACUAUUAUUUUGCAUGUGCCUCUGUUGUUUGAUUUGACUGCAGAUAAUUUUCUUAUUACACUGAAGCGGUGUACACUCAUCGAGCCCAAGCUUUCACUCCAGAACCUGAACCUGAGCCGGAACCUGAACUGGACCCUUAUCGUGCAUCAUCUUUCCAGUGGGAUCCGGAGAUGGCCAGCCAAUGGUAUCCUAAUUACACCUCCCAGUACACCGGGGAGAGUAGCAGCGGUCCUUGGUACGGUCCCCAAAAGCCUAAGCUUGGGGGAGUACGUAUUUCACACCGACUUUACAUUCAUGUUCACACACUAG